This 323-nucleotide ribosomal RNA is filed under the name uncultured bacterium. RNAcentral describes it as "bacterial SSU rRNA". It matches the Rfam family "Bacterial small subunit ribosomal RNA", at positions 28 to 334 of the family's 1533-position model. The record is from RNAcentral.
GAUGAACGCUGGCGGCGUGCUUAACACAUGCAAGUCGAACGGAACUCGCUGGGUCAAGACUUCGGUCAAGUGAAAUCGAGUUUAGUGGCGGACGGGUGAGUAACGCGUGAGGAACCUGCCUUUCAGAGGGGGACAACAGUUGGAAACGACUGCUAAUACCGCAUAGCGCAUAUUGAUCGCAUGGUCGAUAUGCCAAAGAUUUAUCGCUGAAAGAUGGCCUCGCGUCUGAUUAGCUAGUUGGUGAGGUAACGGCCUACCAAGGCGACGAUCAGUAGCCGGCCUGAGAGGGUGAACGGCCACAUUGGGACUGAGACACGGCCCAA